UGACUGCGCAGACGCGGCACGCUGGAGCAGCCCCUUCGUACUCUUUUUCGCUCCCAGGCUCGCCCUCCAGGCUGCGCUGAGGAUGCUCCGGGCCCUGUGUGUCGUGUGCGUGUGUGCGUGUGUGCGUGUGUGUAGCUGUCCUUGACUCAGCGACGGGCUUGGGUGGCCGUGUGUUCCUGUGUAGCUGUAGCUUGUAAACGCGAGAAUAAAAUAGCUCCCUGAGUCAUUUGAUAGCCUCUUUGCUAAAAUGAGACGCAUCCUGGCGUGCCCUCCGUCGUGGACUAUUUAUGACAGGGGUUUAACAGUAGCGCUCCAUCCCGAUUCACUUAAAGAGCAAGAGUUGGCGUUUCAGGGAACAGGAGUUUGAAAUGGAAAAACUAGCCACGCUGCUCAGGUCGGGAUGAUGUAAUCUGCCUUCCAGGAGAGGAAGUCUGAGGAACACCUGGGCGCAGGGAGAACCUCCCCACCAAGUGGAAGCUGCGGUGCUGUACUCUACGCGGAUAACACGCUCCAGGCCUUGGCGGUCCUUUUGGAACACCGGACGCUAUAUGAAGGGGGCAGGUCCCUUCCUUCGCGUCAAAAUCGAACGACCAGUGUCCAAAAUUGAAGGAUAGUGAAGCCAACGCCAACUGACGCUGCCUCUUCUUACACUUUGUCAUACGCCUUCCCUCUCUCCCCAUCAGUCUUAUUUAUACCUCCCUUUUCCUCUUUUCUGUAGGUUAAAUAUUCAUACUCCUGCCCUACCAUUAUCACUGAUUCAUCGCUCCAAAGCACACCUAGGAUGGCAGAGUAGUUGAACCUGGUGGGCUGGAUCAACCUGAAACCAGAGAAAAUGCUGAGACAUCUGGAAAGCAAGAAAUGGACUGAGAAACAAAAAACACACAACUGGCCAGCUUAUAGUUCCAGUCUUCAGCUUCAACUCUCAAGACCUGCCUUAUAAGAAAUCCCUGCCUCAAAAGAUUGACUCAGGAUCAUCUUUAUCCCUCCUUCUGUGUAUGUUUUCAAGUCUCUAUACCUGAUUUCUUCCUCUUUAAUCCCUCCACCCCUUGCUCUCUCUGUUCUUAAGAAUAGAGUGAGUCUUCCCUCGAAUGGCAGCCCCAGCUGCUAUGUCAUAACCUUACUAUAAAAUCUACCCAUCUAGUCUCUGA
This is a long non-coding RNA of Pteropus alecto (black flying fox), 1148 nucleotides long. RefSeq lists it as uncharacterized. The record is from RefSeq and is a predicted model, not a curated record. The transcript is spliced from 2 exons. NCBI's taxonomy places the organism in Eukaryota, Metazoa, Chordata, Mammalia, Chiroptera, Pteropodidae.